AGGCCCACUGGUCAGUCAUUGACAAACCCUACCUUUCCUCUACCUCCAUUUCACCAAAUUUUCACCGUCGCCAGCCCCAACUACCUCGUCUCCCCCAAAUUGCCGCCAGCCCCUGCUCAGAUCAUCCCCCGGCCCUGCCCACCCGCCUCCUCAGAUCCACGAAGCUCCCACCCCACCGACGCCUCCUCAGAUCCUCCGCAGGAGGUUAGUGAGCGGCGGGCCCGCUCGCCGCACAGGGCUACGCGGCGGGCCGCGACUCGGCGCUGCCGGCGCACAGCUCCGCCUCCGCGAGGCGCUGGCGGACGGGCAGGUAGCGGCCGGCGUGCUGCUACGCCUCCGCGAGACGCGGGCGGAAAAGCAAGCAGCGGCCGCCGGCGGCUCGGCACUGGCGCGCAGCUCCGCCUCCGUGAGGUGGGGACGGGCGCAUCUCAUGACGGGAGCCGUGCAGGUAGUUCCGGAAGAAAUGCUAGGAAGGAUGCUUGAAGCUGGUUGCAAGCUGGAAGAAAAAAUAUUCAUGCAAGCUUUUAUGUUUGUUUUGUUUUUUAGUUCCUGGGAAUGAAUGUUUUGCACAACCUUAAUGGUUGAGAGCUUGCUCAUAUGCAAACUUGAUGACUUUUGGUCCCUGACUGCAUAGAUAUCUGCAAACCAAAUGGCUGUGAGCCCAUGUCACUUUGUAGUGUUGUAGUAGCUUAGCUAGCUGCUAGCUUAGCUCAUGUAUAUAUGUAUGGAUGACUUAAUAUCAAUGUUAUAUGCUCAUUUUCAAUGAA
Molecule: long non-coding RNA, 767 nt
Organism: Panicum hallii
Lineage: Eukaryota; Viridiplantae; Streptophyta; Magnoliopsida; Poales; Poaceae
Exons: 3
Source: RefSeq, a predicted model, not a curated record